GGUAAUUUAAGCAUAUUACUAAGCGGAGGAAAAGAAACUAACAAGGAUUCCCCCAGUAGCGGCGAGCGAACAGGGAAGAGUCCAGCACCGAACCCCGCAGGCUGCCGCCUGUCGUGGCAUGUGGUGUUUGGGAGGGUCCACUACCCCGACGCCUCGCGCCGAGCCCAAGUCCAACUUGAAUGAGGCCACGGCCCGUAGAGGGUGCCAGGCCCGUAGCGGCCGGUGCGAGCGUCGGCGGGACCUCUCCUUCGAGUCGGGUUGCUUGAGAGUGCAGCUCCAAGUGGGUGGUAAACUCCAUCUGAGACUAAAUAUGACCACGAGACCGAUAGCGAACAAGUACCGUGAGGGAAAGUUGAAAAGAACUUUGAAGAGAGAGUUCAAAAGUACGUGAAACCGUUCUGGGGUAAACGUGAGAAGUCCGAAAGGUCGAACGGGUGAGAUUCACGCCCAUCCGGCCACUGGCCCCCGCCCUCGGCAGAUGGGGCCGGCCGCCCGCGCGGAGCAAUCCGCGGCGGGGUCGUGUCCGGUUGCCUUUCCACUCGCCGCGGGGUGGGGCCGUUCCGGUGUGCGGUGGGCCGCACUUCUCCCCUAGUAGGACGUCGCGACCCGCUGGGUGCCGGCCUACGGCCCGGGUGCGCAGCCUGUCCUUCCGCGGGCCUCGGUUCGCGUCUGUUGGGCAGAGCCCCGGUGUCCUGGCUGGCUGCUCGGCGGUAUAUCUGGAGGAGUCGAUUCGCCCCUUUGGGCGCUCGGGCUCCCGGCAAGCGCGCGCGGUUCUUCCCGGAUGACGGACCUACCUGGCCCGGCCCCGGACCCGCGCCGCUGUUGGCUCGGGAUGCUCUCGGGCGGAAUAAUCGCUCCCGUCAGCGGCGCUUCAGCUUUGGACAAUUUCACGACCCGUCUUGAAACACGGACCAAGGAGUCUAACAUGUGCGCGAGUCAUUGGGCUGUACGAAACCUAAAGGCGUAAUGAAAGUGAAGGUCUCGCCUUGCGCGGGCCGAGGGAGGAUGGGGCUUCCCCGCCCUUCACGGGGCGGCGGCCUCCGCACUCCCGGGGCGUCUCGUCCUCAUUGCGAGGUGAGGCGCACCUAGAGCGUACACGUUGGGACCCGAAAGAUGGUGAACUAUGCCUGGCCAGGACGAAGUCAGGGGAAACCCUGAUGGAGGUCCGUAGCGAUUCUGACGUGCAAAUCGAUCGUCGGAGCUGGGUAUAGGGGCGAAAGACUAAUCGAACCAUCUAGUAGCUGGUUCCCUCCGAAGUUUCCCUCAGGAUAGCUGGUGCUCGUACGAGUCUCAUCCGGUAAAGCGAAUGAUUAGAGGCCUUGGGGCCGAAACGACCUCAACCUAUUCUCAAACUUUAAAUGGGUGAGAUCUCCGGCUUGCUUGAUAUGCUGAAGCCGCGAGCAAACGACUCGGAUCGGAGUGCCAAGUGGGCCACUUUUGGUAAGCAGAACUGGCGCUGUGGGAUGAACCAAACGCCGAGUUAAGGCGCCCGAAUCGACGCUCAUGGGAAACCAUGAAAGGCGUUGGUUGCUUAAGACAGCAGGACGGUGGCCAUGGAAGUCGGAAUCCGCUAAGGAGUGUGUAACAACUCACCUGCCGAAGCAACUAGCCCUGAAAAUGGAUGGCGCUGAAGCGUCGUGCCUAUACUCGGCCGUCAGUCUGGCAGUCAUGGCCGGUCCUCGCGGCCGGCCGCGAAGCCCUGACGAGUAGGAGGGUCGCGGCGGUGGGCGCAGAAGGGUCUGGGCGUGAGCCUGCCUGGAGCCGCCGUCGGUGCAGAUCUUGGUGGUAGUAGCAAAUACUCCAGCGAGGCCCUGGAGGGCUGACGCGGAGAAGGGUUUCGUGUGAACAGCCGUUGCACACGAGUCAGUCGAUCCUAAGCCCUAGGAGAAAUCCGAUGUUGAUGGGGGCCGUCAUAGCAUGAUGCACUUUGUGCUGGCCCCCGUUGGGCGAAAGGGAAUCCGGUUCCUAUUCCGGAACCCGGCAGCGGAACCGAUACAAGUCGGGCCCCUCUUUUAGAGAUGCUCGUCGGGGUAACCCAAAAGGACCCGGAGACGCCGUCGGGAGAUCGGGGAAGAGUUUUCUUUUCUGCAUGAGCGUUCGAGUUCCCUGGAAUCCUCUAGCAGGGAGAUAGGGUUUGGAACGCGAAGAGCACCGCAGUUGCGGCGGUGUCCCGAUCUUCCCCUCGGACCUUGAAAAUCCGGGAGAGGGCCACGUGGAGGUGUCGCGCCGGUUCGUACCCAUAUCCGCAGCAGGUCUCCAAG
This 2261-nucleotide ribosomal RNA is filed under the name Ornithacris sp. BYU-IGC-OR544. RNAcentral's name for it is "eukaryotic LSU rRNA". It matches the Rfam family "Eukaryotic large subunit ribosomal RNA", at positions 30 to 1871 of the family's 3401-position model. Lineage: Eukaryota; Metazoa; Arthropoda; Insecta; Orthoptera; Acrididae. The record is from RNAcentral.